AUUGAACGCUGGCGGCAGGCCUAACACAUGCAAGUCGAACGGUAACAGGAAGAAGCUUGCUUCUUUGCUGACGAGUGGCGGACGGGUGAGUAAUGUCUGGGAAACUGCCUGAUGGAGGGGGAUAACUACUGGAAACGGUAGCUAAUACCGCAUAACGUCGCAAGACCAAAGAGGGGGACCUUCGGCCUCUUGCCAUCGGAUGUGCCCAGAUGGGAUUAGCUAGUAGGGGGGUAACGGCUCACCUAGGCGACGAUCCCUAGCUGGUCUGAGAGGAUGACCAGCCACACUGGAACUGAGACACGGUCCAGACUCCUACGGGAGGCAGCAGUGGGAAUAUUGCACAAUGGGCGCAAGCCUGAUGCAGCCAUG
This 369-nucleotide ribosomal RNA is filed under the name uncultured bacterium. Its description in RNAcentral is "bacterial SSU rRNA". It matches the Rfam family "Bacterial small subunit ribosomal RNA", at positions 30 to 396 of the family's 1533-position model. The record is from RNAcentral.